RNAcentral lists this long non-coding RNA (744 nucleotides) under Medicago truncatula (barrel medic). RNAcentral's name for it is "lncRNA gene41124". Lineage: Eukaryota; Viridiplantae; Streptophyta; Magnoliopsida; Fabales; Fabaceae. The record is from RNAcentral.
CUCUCCCGUGAUAAUAUGCUUAUAAUUGAAUACAUAGUGAAUACAAAUUUGAGUAGUAUAAAUGUAUGAUAAUUAUAUUGUCUUUAUUUAAUAUAUAUUUUUGGAAAAGAAAACAAUUUAUUGGUCACAAGCAUAAACUAAAAAUGGGUCCCCUAGAACAACGGGUUAAAAACAAAUACAAAUUUGCUAAAGCAGUGAGAUACAACUCAAAACCCACUUGGAGAUACAAAGAAAACAAACCAUCACGUUAUCUUUAUUUAUUGCAGUUCAUUUAUAAUUCUGCAAUGACACUUUUAUUCUAAGCCUGACAUGGAAAUUUUAAUGUUAGAGAGAAAAAUAGAAAUGUGCAAUGAAGUAAUAUAAAUAUCAACUCAUUGAAAUAAAAGUAUAAGUUUAAAAGUAACAAAUUUUUGUAUCAACUUACGAUUAAAUACAAAAACAAUUAUUAUCAAUGCAUGUUGGGACAUCAGGCAGGGUACAAAUAUUUGAACAACCUGGUACGCUACAAACAGGAUGGCAAUCUGCGUCUUCUUUACAUUCUUCAAAUGCUAUGAUGUAAGCAAAAAAAAUAAAGUCAAAAAAAAGGGAUGAAAAAUUGUAUAUAAAAUUUGAGGGGAUGAGAAAAAAAGCAUACAAUAACCUUUAACUGCAACAAGAAGUACAAAAAGAUAUAUGAUCAUAAUAUAAACAAACUUAAGAAUUGCAGCCAUAUUUCUUCUCUUUUGCAUGUAACAAAUAGAUAAU